RNAcentral lists this ribosomal RNA (449 nucleotides) under uncultured bacterium. RNAcentral describes it as "bacterial SSU rRNA". It matches the Rfam family "Bacterial small subunit ribosomal RNA", at positions 329 to 792 of the family's 1533-position model. The record is from RNAcentral.
CGCCAGACUCCUACGGGAGGCAGCAGUGGGGAAUAUUGGGCAAUGGAGGCAACUCUGACCCAGCAACGCCGCGUGAAUGAAGAAGGCCUUCGGGUUGUAAAGUUCUUUAAUUGGGGACGAAGGAAAUGACGGUACCCAAAGAAUAAGCCACGGCUAACUACGUGCCAGCAGCCGCGGUAAUACGUAGGGGGCAAGCGUUAUCCGGAUUUACUGGGUGUAAAGGGAGCGUAGACGGCAGCACAAGUCUGGAGUGAAAUCCCGGGGCUUAACCCCGGAACUGCUUUGGAAACUGUGCGGCUGGAGUGCAGGAGGGGUAAGCGGAAUUCCUAGUGUAGCGGUGAAAUGCGUAGAUAUUAGGAGGAACACCGGUGGCGAAGGCGGCUUACUGGACUGUAACUGACGUUGAGGCUCGAAAGCGUGGGGAGCAAACAGGAUUAGAUACCCCAGUA